Molecule: ribosomal RNA, 521 nt
Filed under: uncultured bacterium
Lineage: Bacteria
Description: bacterial SSU rRNA
Rfam family: Bacterial small subunit ribosomal RNA
Source: RNAcentral
UGGGGAAUAUUGGACAAUGGGGGAAACCCUGAUCCAGCCAUGCCGCGUGCGUGAAGAAGGCCUCAGGGUUGUAAAGCGCUUUCGGCGGGGAAGAUGAUGACGGUACCCGCAGAAGAAGCCCCGGCUAACUCCGUGCCAGCAGCCGCGGUGAUACGGAGGGGGCAAGCGUUGUUCGGAAUUACUGGGCGUAAAGGGCGCGUAGGCGGGCGACUAAGUCAGAGGUGAAAGGCCUGGGCUCAACCUGGGAACUGCCUUUGAAACUAGUUGUCUAGAGUCCGGAAGAGGAUGGCGGAAUUCCCAGUGUAGAGGUGAAAUUCGUAGAUAUUGGGAAGAACACCAGUGGCGAAGGCGGCCAUCUGGUCCGGUACUGACGCUGAGGCGCGAAAGCGUGGGGAGCAAACAGGAUUAGAUACCCUGGUAGUCCACGCCCUAAACGAUGAUUACUCGAUGUUGGCGAUACACUGUCAGCGUCCAAGCGAAAGCGUUAAGUAAUCCACCUGGGGAGUACGCUCGCAAGAGUG